UUAAACGGAAGAGUUUGAUCCUGGCUCAGGACGAACGCUGGCGGCGUGCCUAACACAUGCAAGUCGAGCGGGGACAUUGCGACAGAUUUGAAGUUUUCGGAUGGAUAUGAAGAUGUAAUGUUCUAGCGGCGGACGGGUGAGUAACGCGUGAGCAACCUGUCCCUUACAGGGGGAUAACACAGCGAAAGUUGUACUAAUACCGCAUAAGACCACAGAGCGACAUCGCUUAGGGGUCAAAGGAGUAA
This 245-nucleotide ribosomal RNA is filed under the name Clostridiales bacterium. Its description in RNAcentral is "16S rRNA. Bacterial SSU". It matches the Rfam family "Bacterial small subunit ribosomal RNA", at positions 1 to 212 of the family's 1533-position model. Lineage: Bacteria; Bacillati; Bacillota; Clostridia; Eubacteriales. The record is from RNAcentral.